UGGGGAAUUUUGGACAAUGGGGGAAACCCUGAUCUAGCCAUCCCGCGUGUGCGAUGAAGGCCUUCGGGUUGUAAAGCACUUUUGGCAGGAAAGAAACGUCAUGGGUUAAUACCCCGUGAAACUGACGGUACCUGCAGAAUAAGCACCGGCUAACUACGUGCCAGCAGCCGCGGUAAUACGUAGGGUGCAAGCGUUAAUCGGAAUUACUGGGCGUAAAGCGUGCGCAGGCGGUUCGGAAAGAAAGAUGUGAAAUCCCAGAGCUCAACUUUGGAACUGCAUUUUUAACUACCGGGCUAGGGUGUGUCAGAGGGAGGUGGAAUUCCGCGUGUAGCAGUGAAAUGCGUAGAUAUGCGGAGGAACACCGAUGGCGAAGGCAGCCUCCUGGGAUAACACUGACGCUCAUGCACGAAAGCGUGGGGAGCAAACAGG
RNAcentral lists this ribosomal RNA (429 nucleotides) under Acidobacteriota bacterium. RNAcentral describes it as "Acidobacteria bacterium partial 16S ribosomal RNA". It matches the Rfam family "Bacterial small subunit ribosomal RNA", at positions 355 to 776 of the family's 1533-position model. The record is from RNAcentral. Lineage: Bacteria; Pseudomonadati; Acidobacteriota.